Molecule: long non-coding RNA, 1034 nt
Organism: Dermacentor silvarum
Lineage: Eukaryota; Metazoa; Arthropoda; Arachnida; Ixodida; Ixodidae
Exons: 3
Source: RefSeq, a predicted model, not a curated record
ACUUGAGAGAAGAUAAUAAUACUUUGAUGCUCUUCUCACGCCUACAAAUGAGGGCGACGUGAUAAACAGCACAGCACGCGAAAGGGUACGUGAACGCCAACGAACGGCGUGCCGCCAACAACUGCAUGGGCUGUCACUUCAGUGUAUUCUUCCCGCCUUUGGAAGAAGCAUUUUGGACUAAAGCUACCUUGAUAUGUACAAAACAUGGGAGACUACGUGCAGGAUUAUGAAUGGCUACCUGAAUGCUGCUUGAAGCAGCGAGCUCUACAGCACCACUCAUGCCCCUUUCCAUGGGUUGGCAAGAGGAGCAGUGGCACACAACUCUACAGGCACUUGUGCUUUUUAUCAUCUUUGGAGGAGAUGUAUUGGGUGCUCCAUACCAUGCACUGCCAUUUCAAUACACCAAGGCUUUUCGUGUGGAUUCCUUCCCUUUUCAAGGCCACCACUGCUUGCACAGCAUCAUCAGCCUACCUUCCUUGAACUUCAUGUUCCAUAUGGCAGAAGAAAAUACAAAAUGCCUACUCUGAAAUACAUGCUUGGCUCCAUGCAGCACUCCCUGCCGUCAGGGUGCUAGAACUUUGUGCAGAGAAAAUGUUCGUAAUGAUGCUAUAUGUGUACAGCCUUGGUGGUAAAGUGUUGCCCGCUUCGCCUAUGAGAGAAUUUCACACUUAUGGGCACUGUUAAAGGUUCAUGUGUUAAAUGUUUGACAUCCUAUAGAAAUUUUCAUGUUUCAGUGUAAAAGCAAAAUUAUAGUUGAAUUGCUGCUUUUUGUGAUAUGCAAUAUACAGCUGAAGGUGAUUAGCAGUGGUGAAACAGGUGUUGUAUGAGGUAGUAAAUUGUUUUCAACAGAGGGAGUUGUCUUUGCUAGGGCAACAACUGUUUUCCUUGGCAGCAUUGAUAUAGUUCACUUUUCCCCACUCCAUAGACAUCUAGGAGAAUAAGCAGGGUUGCAUACAGUAGGGUGAGGUAAGUUGAAAUGCUCAACAUGAUGGUUUAGUUGGGAAGGUGAGGUGUGUGGGAGAAAUAGGGGAGUU